UCGGCCUGCAGACUGAAAGGUCCCAGGUUUGAUUCUGGGCAUGUACCUUGGAUGCAGGUUCCCUGCCUUGGUUGGGGUGCAUCAGGCAACCAGUUGAUGUGUCUUUCUCACAUCGAUGUUUCUCUCUGUCUCUCCCUCUCCUUUCUA
Pipistrellus kuhlii (Kuhl's pipistrelle) is the source of this 147-nucleotide long non-coding RNA. RefSeq lists it as uncharacterized. NCBI's taxonomy places the organism in Eukaryota, Metazoa, Chordata, Mammalia, Chiroptera, Vespertilionidae. The transcript is spliced from 2 exons. The record is from RefSeq and is a predicted model, not a curated record.